CCUACGGGAGGCAGCAGUGGGGAAUUGUUCGCAAUGGGCGAAAGCCUGACGACGCAACGCCGCGUGGAGGAUGAAGACCUUCGGGUCGUAAACUCCUUUCGACCGAGAAGAAUGGCUCUCGACCUAAUACGUCGAGAGCAUGACGGUACCGAGGGAAGAAGCCCCGGCUAACUCUGUGCCAGCAGCCGCGGUAAUACAGGGGGGGCAAGCGUUGUUCGGAAUUACUGGGCGUAAAGGGUUCGUAGGUGGCCAACUAAGUCAGACGUGAAAUCCCUCAGCUUAACUGGGGAACUGCGUCUGAUACUGGAUGGCUUGAGUGCAGGAGAGGAACGCGGAAUUCCAGGUGUAGCGGUGAAAUGCGUAGAUAUCUGGAGGAACACCGGUGGCGAAGGCGGCGUUCUGGACUGUAACUGACACUGAGGAACGAAAGCCAGGGGAGCAAACGGGAUUAGAUACCCCGGUAGUCCUGGCCCUAAACGAUGAUGNUGUGUACGGUAGUACGAUCCUCGUGUGCGACGACUACGCAUAAGUACACUCCGUCCGUCGGGUAGGUACGGUCGGCGACGGCGUAAGUAAACGUUAAAGGUUAAAGUUAGUACGGUUCGUUGAGGACGUUGCCGACGGACGACCGACGAGGGGAGGAGG
This 645-nucleotide ribosomal RNA is filed under the name uncultured bacterium. RNAcentral's name for it is "bacterial SSU rRNA". The stretch from base 1 to 541 matches the Rfam family "Bacterial small subunit ribosomal RNA", at positions 338 to 873 of the family's 1533-position model. The record is from RNAcentral.